UACCAGCACCCCGAGUGGUCGGGACGAUUAUUGGGCCUAAAGCAUCCGUAGCCGGUCAUGCAAGUCUUCCGUUAAAUCCAGCCGCUCAACGGUUGGGCUGCGGAGGAUACUACGUGGCUAGGAGGCGGGAGAGGCAAGCGGUACUCAGUGGGUAGGGGUAAAAUCCUUUGAUCCAUUGAAGACCACCAGUGGCGAAGGCGGCUUGCCAGAACGCGCUCGACGGUGAGGAUGAAAGCUGGGGAGCAAACCGG
RNAcentral lists this ribosomal RNA (251 nucleotides) under uncultured bacterium. Its description in RNAcentral is "partial 16S ribosomal RNA". It matches the Rfam family "Archaeal small subunit ribosomal RNA", at positions 474 to 727 of the family's 1478-position model. The record is from RNAcentral.